CCUACGGGGGGCUGCAGUGGGGAAUAUUGGACAAUGGGGGCAACCCUGAUCCAGCCAUGCCGCGUGUGUGAAGAAGGCCCUCGGGUUGUAAAGCACUUUCAGUGAGGAAGAACGCCUGGUGGUUAAUACCCAUCAGGAAAGACAUCACUCACAGAAGAAGCACCGGCUAACUCCGUGCCAGCAGCCGCGGCAAUACGGAGGGUGCGAGCGUUAAUCGGAAUUACUGGGCGUAAAGCGCGCGUAGGUGGCUUGAUAAGCCGGUUGUGAAAGCCCCGGGCUCAACCUGGGAACGGCAUCCGGAACUGUCCAGCUAGAGUGCAGGAGAGGAAGGUAGAAUUCCCGGUGUAGCGGUGAAAUGCGUAGAGAUCGGGAGGAAUACCAGUGGCGAAGGCGGCCUUCUGGACUGACACUGACACUGAGGUGCGAAAGCGUGGGUAGCAAACAGGAUUAGAUACCCCGGUAGUC
Molecule: ribosomal RNA, 465 nt
Filed under: Vreelandella stevensii
Lineage: Bacteria; Pseudomonadati; Pseudomonadota; Gammaproteobacteria; Oceanospirillales; Halomonadaceae
Description: partial 16S ribosomal RNA
Rfam family: Bacterial small subunit ribosomal RNA
Source: RNAcentral